CAGGUUUACCUGUGUGACUGCGUACCUUUUGUAUAAUGGGUCAGCGACUUAUAUUCUGUAGCAAGGUUAACCGAAUAGGGGAGCCGGAGGGAAACCGAGUCUUAAUUGGGCGUUAAGUUGCAGGGUAUAGACCCGAAACCCGGUGAUCUAGCCAUGGGCAGGUUGAAGGUUGGGUAACACUAACUGGAGGACCGAACCGACUAAUGUUGAAAAAUUAGCGGAUGACCUGUGGCUGGGGGUGAAAGGCCAAUCAAACCGGGAGAUAGCUGGUUCUCCCCGAAAGCUAUUUAGGUAGCGCCUCGUGAAUUCAUCUCCGGGGGUAGAGCACUGUUUCGGCUAGGGGGCCAUCCCGGCUUACCAACCCGAUGCAAACUGCGAAUACCGGAGAAUGUUAUCACGGGAGACACACGGCGGGUGCUAACGUCCGUCGUGAAGAGGGAAACAACCCAGACCGCCAGCUAAGGUCCCAAAGUCAUGGUUAAGUGGGAAACGAUGUGGGAAGGCCCAGACAGCCAGGAUGUUGGCUUAGAAGCAGCCAUCAUUUAAAGAAAGCGUAAUAGCUCACUGGUCGAGUCGGCCUGCGCGGAAGAUGUAACGGGGCUAAACCAUGCACCGAAGCUGCGGCAGCGAACGUAUCACCCAAGACAACUUUACGGAGUUGACGAUUGACGGAGCGAAGCGACGUCAAAGCGUUCAUUAAAGUCGAGUUGGCUUAGGGAUACGUUCGUUGGGUAGGGGAGCGUUCUGUAAGCCUGUGAAGGUGUGUCGUGAGGCAUGCUGGAGGUAUCAGAAGUGCGAAUGCUGACAUAAGUAACGAUAAAGCGGGUGAAAAGCCCGCUCGCCGGAAGACCAAGGGUUCCUGUCCAACGUUAAUCGGGGCAGGGUGAGUCGACCCCUAAGGCGAGGCCGAAAGGCGUAGUCGAUGGGAAACGGGUUAAUAUUCCCGUACUUGGUGUUACUGCGAAGGGGGGACGGAGAAGGCUAUGUUGGCCGGGCGACGGUUGUCCCGGUUUAAGCGUGUAGGUGUGUGUUCCAGGUAAAUCCGGUUCACUUUAACACUGAGGCGUGACGACGAGGCACUACGGUGCUGAAGCAACAAAUGCCCUGCUUCCAGGAAAAGCCUCUAAGCAUCAGGUAACAUCAAAUCGUACCCCAAACCGACACAGGUGGUCAGGUAGAGAAUACCAAGGCGCUUGAGAGAACUCGGGUGAAGGAACUAGGCAAAAUGGUGCCGUAACUUCGGGAGAAGGCACGCUGACACGUAGGUGAAGUGAUUUACUCAUGGAGCUGAAGUCAGUCGAAGAUACCAGCUGGCUGCAACUGUUUAUUAAAAACACAGCACUGUGCAAACACGAAAGUGGACGUAUACGGUGUGACGCCUGCCCGGUGCCGGAAGGUUAAUUGAUGGGGUCAGCGCAAGCGAAGCUCCUGAUCGAAGCCCCGGUAAACGGCGGCCGUAACUAUAACGGUCCUAAGGUAGCGAAAUUCCUUGUCGGGUAAGUUCCGACCUGCACGAAUGGCGUAAUGAUGGCCAGGCUGUCUCCACCCGAGACUCAGUGAAAUUGAACUCGCUGUGAAGAUGCAGUGUACCCGCGGCAAGACGGAAAGACCCCGUGAACCUUUACUAUAGCUUGACACUGAACAUUGAGCCUUGAUGUGUAGGAUAGGUGGGAGGCUUUGAAGUGUGGACGCCAGUCUGC
RNAcentral lists this ribosomal RNA (1700 nucleotides) under Salmonella enterica subsp. enterica serovar Saintpaul. Its description in RNAcentral is "partial 23S ribosomal RNA". It matches the Rfam family "Bacterial large subunit ribosomal RNA", at positions 580 to 2179 of the family's 2925-position model. The record is from RNAcentral. Lineage: Bacteria; Pseudomonadati; Pseudomonadota; Gammaproteobacteria; Enterobacterales; Enterobacteriaceae.